CUCAAGUCAAUGAUUUACCCAGGUGCUCCACCUCGGCAUCUCAGAGAAAGCGCAAGUUCAUUGUUCCAUUGUUGGCAGCUCUGUCAGCUGUUGUUGCAUUGGCCUUGAUCUUAGGGCUGGUUUUCCUGGUUUUCCAUAUUUUGAGAAAGAAGAGGGAGAGAUCAAGUCAGUCUAUUGACCACACAUAUACAGAGUUUAAAAGGCUAACAUACAAUGAUGUAAGCAAAGCAACGAAUGGCUUCUCUCCAACCAAUAUAGUUGGUUCUGGGCAAUUCGGGAUAGUGUAUAAAGGUCAGUUGGAUGGAAAAGACAGCUCGGUUGCUGUUAAAGUAUUCAAACUUAAUCAGUAUGGUGCAUUGGAUAGCUUUAUUGCUGAGUGCAAAGCUUUGCGGAACAUCCGGCACCGAAAUCUCGUGAGUGUCAUAACUGCAUGCUCAACUUACGAUCUGAUGGGGAAUGAGUUCAAAGCUCUGGUCUUCCAAUAUAUGGCAAAUGGUAGCCUUGAGAAUCGACUUCAUGCUAAGCUCCAGAACAAUGCUGAUUUGAGUUUGGGAACAGUGAUAUGCAUAGCAGUAGACAUUGCGUCUGCUCUGGAAUACCUUCAUAACCAAUGCACCCCACCAGUGGUUCACUGUGAUUUGAAGCCAAGCAAUAUACUCUUUGACGAUGAUGAUACUUCGUAUGUCUGUGAUUUUGGGCUAGCAAGGUUAAUUCAUGGUUAUUCAUCUGAAGCUCAGAGCAGCUCAACAAGCAUAGCUGGACCAGGGGGGACUAUUGGAUACAUCGCUCCUGGUGGGUAACUAAAACUAGCCUGAAUUACUAUUUUACUUUUGAUUAUAGUGCUUGUCAUAACUUUUUGUUUCCAAUCGCUGCAGAGUAUGGCAUGGGCAGUCAAAUCUCAACUGAGGGCGAUGUCUAUAGUUACGGAAUUAUACUUUUAGAAAUGCUAACAGGGAAAAGACCUACGGAUGAAACAUUCGGUAAUGGCCUUACACUCCAGAAGUACGUAGAUGCAUCACUUUCAGAAAUUGAACGCGUUCUUCGCCCCAGUCUUAUGCCAAAAAUUGGAGAUCAACCUACUAUUACCCCCAAAAUAGAAGAAUACAGGGCAACUACAGUGAUGCAUAUCUGUGCUCUGCAACUCGUUAAACUUGGGUUGUUAUGCUCCGUCGAGUCACCAAAAGAUCGCCCAAGCAUGCAUGAAAUUUACAGCGAAGUAAUUGCUGUAAAAGAAGCAUUUUUCUCAAUGAACAGUUGAGAGAUACACUACACGCCUAGAACAGUUUUGAUAUACUGCACAUAGAUUUAUGUCGCAAAUAUUUCCGUUUAUUUGGAUUGUUUUCUUCAUUCUAAAGGCCAGGUACCAAAUUGCUGAAUCUUUUUAUGUAAAUUUCACUAUGCAUUGAUGUUAAAGGCCCGAGCUAUUCUGUCAAUUUGAACUUUUCUUCAGAGAUAAAAGGCCGGUAGCUCUGUUUUCCUAUUGCUUUCAUCAAUGCCAAAGCAACUUGGCCUCCCCGCACAAAUGUGUGGGGCGGACAAUAAUCAAUAUUUACAGCUGAAAUCUCUGCAUUGGUGUUGGAAGUUGCUUCUUUUCUAACCAGAAGUCUCUCAAUUUGCCUCACUGCUAAAUAGCCGAAACACUAGCUAACAUUCCUGUAUGAUGUGUCAAGUUUGGAGCACCCAGUAGGCCAGUACUGGUACUAGUAGUAUUGGUGGUGGCUGCAACGAAGCCCAAUCUCUAGGGACUGCGACUACAAGUCCGAUUAAUCCUGGUUAAAUCAAGUUUGAAGCAAAAACUGUACAAGAUCGAUACGGUAAUUUUGGUAUUUGACACGGAAAUAACAGGACUAGAAAAGAAAUAGCAAACCCUAGGUGCUCACUUUGGCCUCAAUCGGGAAUGGGGCUGCCCUGCACGUCGUGACGAUGGCCGUCGGCCGCGCAAGGCGGAAGGUGG
RNAcentral lists this long non-coding RNA (1954 nucleotides) under Hordeum vulgare. RNAcentral's name for it is "long non-coding RNA (HVUL_LNC017052)". The record is from RNAcentral. Lineage: Eukaryota; Viridiplantae; Streptophyta; Magnoliopsida; Poales; Poaceae.